CAGUCGCCACGGGAAUACGAAGGGUGCAAGCGUUACUCGGAAUUACUGGGCGUAAAGCGUGCGUAGGUGGUGGUUUAAGUCCGUUGUGAAAGCCCUGGGCUUAACCUGGGAAUUGCAGUGGAUACUGGGUCACUAGAGUGUGGUAGAGGAUAGUGGAAUUUCCGGUGUAGCAGUGAAAUGCGUAGAGAUCGGAAGGAACAUCUGUGGCGAAGGCGACUAUCUGGGCCAACACUGACACUGAGGCACGAAAGCGUGGGGAGCAAACAGGAUUAGAUACCCCAGUAGUCCCUGUCUCUUAUAC
This 301-nucleotide ribosomal RNA is filed under the name uncultured bacterium. Its description in RNAcentral is "partial 16S ribosomal RNA". It matches the Rfam family "Bacterial small subunit ribosomal RNA", at positions 509 to 807 of the family's 1533-position model. The record is from RNAcentral.